Molecule: ribosomal RNA, 253 nt
Filed under: uncultured bacterium
Lineage: Bacteria
Description: partial 16S ribosomal RNA
Rfam family: Bacterial small subunit ribosomal RNA
Source: RNAcentral
UACAGAGGUCCCAAGCGUUGUUCGGAUUCAUUGGGCGUAAAGGGCGCGUAGGCGGCGUGACAAGUCACUUGUGAAAUCUCUGAGCUUAACUCAGAACGGCCAAGUGAAACUGUUGUGCUAGAGUGCAGAAGGGGCAAUCGGAAUUCUUGGUGUAGCGGUGAAAUGCGUAGAUAUCAAGAGGAACACCUGAGGUGAAGACGGGUUGCUGGGCUGACACUGACGCUGAGGCGCGAAAGCCAGGGGAGCAAACGGG